RNAcentral lists this microRNA precursor (60 nucleotides) under Drosophila mojavensis. Its description in RNAcentral is "Dmo-Mir-969_pre stem-loop". Lineage: Eukaryota; Metazoa; Arthropoda; Insecta; Diptera; Drosophilidae. The record is from RNAcentral.
GAGUUCCACUAAUCAAGUUUUGAGUGUUCGAAAAUCAAAAACUUGACACGUUGAGCUCGU